Molecule: long non-coding RNA, 634 nt
Organism: Manis javanica (Malayan pangolin)
Lineage: Eukaryota; Metazoa; Chordata; Mammalia; Pholidota; Manidae
Source: RefSeq, a predicted model, not a curated record
CCUUCUUUCUCUUGCGGCUCAGGAGGGGGCGUCACCCUGAGGAGGAAGGACCUGAAAAGAGAUGAGCGGUUCAGCGUUGCCCGGAACUCGACAGACAGCCACGGAGCAGUGCCGUGCAGGUGACCCAGCCAGUGCAGCUGACCAACAGAGAUCCCAGGCCCACACGGACUCUUCUCACCGAGGCCGUGGCCACUGAGCCAACAAGAUUCCACAGACUCCUACCCCAGGCUCCCCCUUGCUGCAUGCGUCUGCCUUCCAGACCUCCCUGCUAACUCCGUCGCAUCUCCACCCACACCAGGGCUGGCUACUGACCUUCCUGCCAUCUGUCAGGUCCCUUCUUUGGACCCUUGUCUUUCCAGCUCUUCUCACAAUCGGUUCAAGAACACGAAGUAAGUGAUUUUCAAUGGGCUGUACAGACCAGGGUCCUGUAUCAGAAUCCCUGACCAGCUGCUACACACCACGUGCAAAACCUGGAGCAAGUACUGUCAGGUCCCUUGACCCACAGGAUCCCCACCCCGGUGCCCUCCCAGAGGCUGGGUGUGCUGCCUGGCCAGGUCCGAGCUGGCAGGCAUGGAAGUCCUUUGCUGAAAGAUAAACAAGUAUCUGGGAAAGCCCCAUCACAAGAACGUUUUAA